AGAGUUUGAUCCUGGCUCAGGAUGAACGCUAGCUACAGGCUUAACACAUGCAAGUCGAGGGGCAGCAUGUUGGUUGCUUGCAACCAACGAUGGCGACCGGCGCACGGGUGAGUAACGCGUAUCCAACCUACCCUUGUCCAUCGGAUAACCCGUCGAAAGGCGGCCUAACAUGAUAUGCGGUUCACAGCAGGCAUCUAACGUGAACGAAAUGUAAAGGAGAAGGAUGGGGAUGCGUCUGAUUAGCUUGUUGGCGGGGUAACGCCACAAGGCUACGAUCAGUAGGGGUUCUGAGAGGAACGGUCCCCCANAUUGGAACUGAGACACGGUCCAAACUCCGUACGGGAGCA
RNAcentral lists this ribosomal RNA (347 nucleotides) under uncultured bacterium. RNAcentral's name for it is "bacterial SSU rRNA". It matches the Rfam family "Bacterial small subunit ribosomal RNA", at positions 8 to 349 of the family's 1533-position model. The record is from RNAcentral.